Molecule: ribosomal RNA, 500 nt
Filed under: uncultured bacterium
Lineage: Bacteria
Description: bacterial SSU rRNA
Rfam family: Bacterial small subunit ribosomal RNA
Source: RNAcentral
GNCAUGGGCGAAGCCUGAUGCAGCGCCGCCGCGUGGGUGAUGAAGGUUUUCGGAUCGUAAAACCCUUUUCUGUGUGACGAGGAAGGACGGUAGCACAGGAAUAAGUGUCGGCUAACUACGUGCCAGCAGCCGCGGUAAUACGUAGGACGCAAGCGUUAUCCGGAAUUACUGGGCGUAAAGAGCGUGUAGGCGGUUGUCCAAGUCACCCGUGAAAGCUCCCGGCUAAACUGGGAGAGGUCGGGUGAGACUGGAUGGCUAGAGGGUUGUAGAGGGGUGUGGAAUUCCGGGUGUAGUGGUGAAAUGCGUAGAGAUCCGGAGGAACACCAGAGGCGAAGGCGGCACCCUGGACAACACCUGACGCUGAGACGCGAAAGCGCGGGGAGCAAACGGGAUUAGAGACCCCGGUAGUCCGCGCCGUAAACGAUGUGCGCUAGAUGUUCGUCUUCCUACGGGGGGAUGAGCGUCGAAGCCAACGCGAUAAGCGCACCGCCUGAGGAGUA